Molecule: ribosomal RNA, 405 nt
Filed under: uncultured bacterium
Lineage: Bacteria
Description: partial 16S ribosomal RNA
Rfam family: Bacterial small subunit ribosomal RNA
Source: RNAcentral
AUUGAACGCUGGCGGCAGGCUUAACACAUGCAAGUCGAACGAGUGGCGGAUGGGUGAGUAAUUCUUGGGAAUCUACCUUAUGGAGGGGGAUAACUACGGGAAACUGUAGCUAAUACCUCGUACCAUAGGAUGAGCCCAAGUGGGCUUAGGUAGUUGGUGAGGUAAAGGCUCACCAAGCCGACGAUCUCUAGCUGGUCUGAGAGGAUGACCGGGCAAACUGGGACUGUGACACGGCCCAGACUCCUAGGGGAGGCAGGAGGGGGGAAGAGUGCGCAAUGGGAGAAACCUGACGCAGCCAGGCCGCGUGAAUGAAGAAGGCCUGCGGGUUGUAAAGUUCUAUCGGUAGCGAGGCGGUAACUACAGAAGAAGCACCGGCUAACUCCGUGCAAGCAGCCGCGGUAAUUC